Molecule: transfer-messenger RNA, 246 nt
Filed under: Faecalibacterium sp. CAG:82-related_59_9
Lineage: Bacteria; Bacillati; Bacillota; Clostridia; Eubacteriales; Oscillospiraceae
Rfam family: transfer-messenger RNA
About the family: Bacterial tmRNA, also known as 10Sa RNA or SsrA, is named for its dual tRNA and mRNA-like properties. Its role is to liberate the mRNA from a stalled ribosome.
Source: RNAcentral
GGGGGCGUAAAGGUUUCGACGGGGGGAGGGAGGCCUGGGCAGCGGGUAGCAGCGGGGGAACUGCUCUAUAACUCCUCCAAAAAAUUAACUGACAACAAUAAUUAUCAGUUGCUCGCAGCCUGAGUGCUGCGCGUUCCGCCCACUCUUGUGUCGUGUGGGGCCGGGGCGGUUGUAGAUCGCCUGCACCCGGAGACACCUGCGCUGAACUCUUUUCGGACAUGGGUUCGACUCCCAUCGCCUCCACCA